CUCCCUCUAGUGAUGAUAAGUUUUUUCUCGAUUUUCAAACUGGCUAAAGCCUAAAAAGGUUACGCUUCAUCUCACUCUCCUCUCCAUCCAAGACUUGCUCCCAUCUCUUUCAAGGUAAUAUGCGAGUUUUUUUUGGGUAUUUCUUUGUACUAUUUUUGGAGCAGACCUUGAGACAAACGUUAUUAUAUCCUGAGAAUUUUGGCAAUACUUGCUAUUGCAAUUCUGUUUUUCAGGUAUCUCUUCGUUUUUUUUUGUUACUUUCAUUUUCUGAUUUAUUUGAGUGGAAUUGUGAAAAGGUGUUUGACUUUAAUCUUGUUUGUUUGUGGGUAUUUGUUUGUUUGUUUGAUACUUGUGUUUUAUUUGGUUUUUGGUGUUUUUGGCGAUUUUUCGUGUUACAAAUGAGACGCUUCGUUGUUCGCUUCGCAUACGACGAGACAACUCGACCGAUAGCAUAGCGGUGGUGGUCGAUGGUGGCGGUGGUUUCGGGACGUGAUCCGGUUUCAGGAAGGAAACCGCUAAUUGUGCCUUAAUUGAGGGCGUAAAUUGUGCCUCUUAAUUGAGGGCGUAAACUGUGCCUUUUGGGCGUAAAUUGUGCUCUUUAUUGAGGGCGUUAAUUGUGCCUUAUUUGAGGGACUUAAUUGUGUCUUAAUUAAGGACAUUAAUAUUUUAUUAUUAUGCCUUAAUUAAGAGCUUAAUUGUUUCAAUCAUGAGUUAUCAUGAUUGUGGGAAUAUUUUGAUAUAACCUGUUAAAUAUAUCUGACUUAUAUUUUUCUUGUUUCUUGUUUUAUUUUCAGGAUUCCUGGAAGAAGACCCGUUUUCUUUUCGGACAUUAAAGUUUUAUUGUCUAAAUUUCCCCGGUCAUCUUGCAUGUCCGACGGUUAGAUAAUAAGCUUUCUUGAAUGAAAGAAUUAUCACGG
RNAcentral lists this long non-coding RNA (917 nucleotides) under Daucus carota (carrot). RNAcentral's name for it is "long non-coding RNA (DCAR_LNC003143)". The record is from RNAcentral. Lineage: Eukaryota; Viridiplantae; Streptophyta; Magnoliopsida; Apiales; Apiaceae.